AACAACUCCGGGAGAAUGACUAAGAGUUGGCCUUCAGGCAGGAAUAAAGCAUCGAGUGCAUUUGAGGCCGCCCACACGCCUACUCCGGACUCCACGAUGCGCCCUUCUCUCCUGCUGCUCCUCCUCGCUGGCGCCGCCCUCCUCGGCCUCCUGCAGGGGACCGACGCUCAUGAGUGCCCUGAGACAUGCGAGGGCGUAGCCUGUCCUGACACGUCCGACUGCAUCCACGGCACCAUCAAGGAACACUGCGGCUGCUGCGACGUCUGCAACAGGAAGGAGAACGAGAAGUGUGGCGGCUUCGAGCACGAAGACGGCGAGUGCAUCCCUCCGCUCGAGUGCAUUUACGGCGUCUGUGGUUAGCGCUCCCGGGCAACCCUGGCAAUGAUGGUCAGACUAAGCAACUGUUGGGACGUUAGUAGAAGAUAUAACUCGAAGUAGAAUUCUAAAAUAUCUUGGAAUUUCUAAAAAUAGCCAUGGUUUUCCUUCGGAUUUCAGGAUAAUGGAAGAGAGAGAGAAGGAAAAAUGGAAAUUGACAUUACAAGAUAACAGAAAAGAGAGAUAGAUUAAAUGGAAAAAAGGAAAAUAUGGAAACCGCGACAUUCCAGGAUAACAGAAAAAAGAGACAGAAAAAAAAUGAAACAGUAACACGUCAUCCCUACGCUCUACUUAACACUAUACGGAAGAACCAAAUCCCAAGGUAAUUCAGAUUCACGCAAUCGAGACAGUCACGCCUCUAGUUUUAAAAACUGUCUCUCCUAACUUCAAGAUUACUGUACACAAAACUACCAGAUAUGUUAAGGAAUCAUAUGCAGUAAUAACUUACGGUCAAAUAUGAUUCCACCAUUACUGCCUACCCCUCAUCCUUUUACAAAUUCUUUGUUUCUUGCCAAGUCACACUGUGUUUUAAGGUGUUUUGUUAACGUACCCCCCCCAAAAAAAAAUAAAAAAAAUAUUCUGAUAAGUAGGGAAUAUUCACGCAACUGCCCUGUUUGGCAUUGCUAAUGUUGUAUGUUACUGAUUUAUAUAACCGGUUUAUAUACUAUAAUUAUAAAAGUUCACUACCA
Molecule: RNA transcript, 1064 nt
Organism: Penaeus chinensis
Lineage: Eukaryota; Metazoa; Arthropoda; Malacostraca; Decapoda; Penaeidae
Gene name: 8.6 kDa transglutaminase substrate-like
Exons: 4
Source: RefSeq, a predicted model, not a curated record